Molecule: small RNA, 929 nt
Filed under: Arabidopsis thaliana (thale cress)
Lineage: Eukaryota; Viridiplantae; Streptophyta; Magnoliopsida; Brassicales; Brassicaceae
Description: ATSL295360
Source: RNAcentral
AACAAUUUACUCAUUUACAAAGAUAAUGAUAACAUUCUGAGUUACCAUAACACAUUAAAAACAGAGAUAUCUGAAAUGGUAAGUUUUUUCCAUGUCUCAAUAAAAUAUAUAUUUUCAAAUUUUUCUAUAAAAACUAUUAAUUUGAUAUUAUGUUUUAUGUUUCUUGCAUUUCUGUCUAUCAUGCCAGUAAUACUUGUUAAUGGUUCGUAAAGAGUUGGAAUGAGAUGAUAUAGUUUCAUCCCCUCUUAUAAUUCAAGAGUAAUCAGUGAUUAGUAUUAAGUAUCUUCUUUGUCAUGAAACACCAACUCCGAUGCUCCCUUGGUAUAGAAACUUCAAGGGAAGUAUGAAUACACAGUAACUGGUAUGUACGAUGUGAAUGACAAAGAUAAUAGUAUUCGCAUCACCGAGUUGUAUGUCUAAGUUAAGGUUCUUGGAGAGAUUGGAAAAACGUAGUGUUAUUAAGGCAGAAUCAAUGCUUUUGCAUCAUAAACUAUCAUAGAUUUUUUGUAUGUUUUUUCUAUUUAUGCGUUUAUUUUUCAGGACUACAAAAAUGACGGUAAUAAUAUGUCAAUUGACAUAAAGUUGUCUUUAACUGAAGAGCAGAUGGAGCAUUUUUUGAAUAACUAUAACAAAAAUCCAAGAGGAUUUCUUGGUAUUUUGAGACUAUCCAUACCUUAAAGAACCAACAACAUGUGUUUGCUUAAUUAGUGGUCAACACCUAUAUCACUAAUUAAGAAAAAAAAGCUUACAGUUCUUGUUAUAUUACACUUUCAAAUGUUUUGUGGUCUUUUUGUUUAAACAUUUCACUAGUCUUUUUUCGAAAAACAUGCAAAUUAAAUAACCGUUUAUAAUAUAUUAUCUCCGCAUUUUGAACAAGAUUUGUUCCAAUGGUAAGAUAACGAUACCAUUGUUAAUAUUUUUGUCCAACA